UUAGUGGCGGACGGGUGAGUAACGCGUGGGUAACCUGCCUUACACAGGGGGAUAACACUUAGAAAUAGGUGCUAAAACCGCAUAAGCGCACAGCUUCGCAUGAAGCGGUGUGAAAACUCCGGUGGUGUAAGAUGGACCCGCGUCUGAUUAGCUUGUUGGCGGGGUAACGGCCUACCAAGGCGACGAUCAGUAGCCGGCCUGAGAGGGUGAACGGCCACAUUGGGACUGAGACACGGCCCAGACUCCUACGGAAGGCAGCAG
Molecule: ribosomal RNA, 261 nt
Filed under: uncultured bacterium
Lineage: Bacteria
Description: partial 16S ribosomal RNA
Rfam family: Bacterial small subunit ribosomal RNA
Source: RNAcentral